UGGGGAAUAUUGCACAAUGGGCGCAAGCCUGAUGCAGCGACGCCGCGUGAGGGAUGACGGCCUUCGGGUUGUAAACCUCUUUCAGCAGGGAAGAAGCGAAAGUGACGGUACCUGCAGAAGAAGCACCGGCUAACUACGUGCCAGCAGCCGCGGUAAUACGUAGGGUGCGAGCGUUGUCCGGAAUUAUUGGGCGUAAAGAGCUUGUAGGCGGUUUGUCGCGUCUGCUGUGAAAAUCCGGGGCUCAACCCCGGACUUGCAGUGGGUACGGGCAGACUAGAGUGUGGUAGGGGAGACUGGAAUUCCUGGUGUAGCGGUGAAAUGCGCAGAUAUCAGGAGGAACACCGAUGGCGAAGGCAGGUCUCUGGGCCACUACUGACGCUGAGAAGCGAAAGCAUGGGGAGCGAACAGGAUUAGAUACCCUGGUAGUCCAUGCCGUAAACGUUGGGAACUAGGUGUGGGUCUCAUUCCACGAGAUCCGUGCCGCAGCUAACGCAUUAAGUUUCCACGCCUGGGGAGUACGGCCGCAAGGCUA
RNAcentral lists this ribosomal RNA (532 nucleotides) under uncultured bacterium. RNAcentral describes it as "bacterial SSU rRNA". It matches the Rfam family "Bacterial small subunit ribosomal RNA", at positions 355 to 896 of the family's 1533-position model. The record is from RNAcentral.